GGGCUGGGGCUCAGUGGUAGGGUGCUCUCCUGGCACGGGUGAGGCCCUGGGUUCGAUCCUCAACACCACA
Molecule: transfer RNA, 70 nt
Filed under: Marmota monax (woodchuck)
Lineage: Eukaryota; Metazoa; Chordata; Mammalia; Rodentia; Sciuridae
Description: tRNA.Ala
Source: RNAcentral